GAAUCUUGCGCAAUGGGCGAAAGCCUGACGCAGCCAUGCCGCGUGAAUGAUGAAGGUCUUAGGAUUGUAAAAUUCUUUCACCGGGGACGAUAAUGACGGUACCCGGAGAAGAAGCCCCGGCUAACUUCGUGCCAGCAGCCGCGGUAAUACGAAGGGGGCUAGCGUUGCUCGGAAUUACUGGGCGUAAAGGGCGCGUAGGCGGAUCGUUAAGUCAGAGGUGAAAUCCCAGGGCUCAACCCUGGAACUGCCUUUGAUAGGGGAGAGAGGGAGGAGGAGAGAGGGAGGGGGAAAGAAGAGGGGAGAGGGGAAAGGAGGAGAGAGGAGGAAGAAAAAAAGGGGAGAAGGAGAAAGAAGGGAGAAGGAAGGAAGAGGAGGAGAGAAAGAGGGGGGAGAAAAAA
This 398-nucleotide ribosomal RNA is filed under the name uncultured bacterium. RNAcentral's name for it is "partial 16S ribosomal RNA". It matches the Rfam family "Bacterial small subunit ribosomal RNA", at positions 359 to 774 of the family's 1533-position model. The record is from RNAcentral.